RNAcentral lists this ribosomal RNA (253 nucleotides) under uncultured bacterium. Its description in RNAcentral is "partial 16S ribosomal RNA". It matches the Rfam family "Bacterial small subunit ribosomal RNA", at positions 524 to 776 of the family's 1533-position model. The record is from RNAcentral.
UACAUGGGGUGCAAACGUUGCUCGGAAUUAUUGGGCGUAAAGCGCACGUAGGCGGUUUGUUAAGUCGGAUGUGAAAUCCCUCGGCUCAACUGAGGAAGUGCAUCCGAAACUGGCAGGCUUGAGUACUAAAGAGGGUCGCGGAAUUCCCGGUGUAGAGGUGAAAUUCGUAGAUAUCGGGAGGAACACCGGUGGCGAAGGCGGCGCCCUGGGUAGAUACUGACGCUGAGGUGCGAAAGCGUGGGGAGCGAACAGG